RNAcentral lists this ribosomal RNA (432 nucleotides) under uncultured bacterium. RNAcentral's name for it is "partial 16S ribosomal RNA". It matches the Rfam family "Bacterial small subunit ribosomal RNA", at positions 29 to 506 of the family's 1533-position model. The record is from RNAcentral.
AACGAACGCUGGCGGCAUGCUUAACACAUGCAAGUCGAACGAGACCUUCGGGUCUAGUGGCGAACGGGUGCGUAACGCGUGGGAACCUGCCAUUAGGUUCGGAAUAACUCCCCGAAAGGGGUGCUAAUACCGGAUAAUGUCUUCGGACCAAAGAUUUAUCGCCUUUGGAUGGGCCCGCGUUGGUUUAGGUAGUUGGUAGGGUAAAAGCCUACCAAGGCGACGAUCCGGAGCUGGUCGGAGAGGAUGAUCAGCCGCACUGGGACUGAGACACGGCCCAGACGGCUGCGGGAGGCAGCAGUGGUGAAUAUUGGACAGUGGGCGAAAGCCUGAACCAGCAAUGCCGGGUGAGUGAUGAAGGGCUUAGAGUUGUAAUGCUCUUUUACCCAGGAUGAUAAGAACGGAACCGGGAGAAUAGGCUCCGGCUAACUCCGU